GUCAAACCAAUACAUAUAAGUAGCGUGGUGAAUGCGUCUCGCUUCUCGUCUCGGGUCAGAUCUCCAAGUAGAAUACAAAGGAUGCGGGGACGACACCUGAAGGAUUUCGUAAUAAAGGGCUUUUCAUAUGUCUCAGUAUCAGGCAAAAUGGUUGACCAUCGCACACAGAGCUGACAGAUGAUGUUUGUUACCGCUGAAGUAUUUUAUACAUAAGUAAGUAUACUUAAAUAUCAUUUUUAUAUUACGCUUCGUAUUUGUUUUUUUAUAUAACUAGGUCGGCAAACAAGCGUACGGCUCACCUGAUGGUAAGCGAUUACCGUAGCUUAUAG
RNAcentral lists this unclassified non-coding RNA (329 nucleotides) under Melitaea cinxia (Glanville fritillary). RNAcentral's name for it is "misc RNA ENSMCXG00005001260.1". The record is from RNAcentral. Lineage: Eukaryota; Metazoa; Arthropoda; Insecta; Lepidoptera; Nymphalidae.